GCGAGACAAAACGAUGGGUACACCUGGAGAGAGAGACAUAAUCAAAAAUACCUCCACCACAGCAUGCCCAUUCCUCCCAAACAAGCUGAGGAAAAUCCCCACAACACUAAACACGUUCACACAGGCCAUACUUUAAGUAUGGAAGGAAGAAGCAGGUAGACUGUCCCCAACCCCAUCCCCACUAACCCCCUGGCACACCACCCACUAUUCCACCAUGCAGCACAAAGCCUCCAGAUAAAAACCUGGCAAGCCAAAGGCUGAUACCGCCUAGCAGACAUCUACAAAAUUAACAAACCCAUAUCAACACAAGAAGCAAUAUAAAGUUAUGAUCGUGGUGAAAAUGUUGGCCCACCCGCCCCUACCGAACAACCACCACAAGAAAUACAACAAAGUAGACUUGUGUCUCCUUAAAGUCUAACAAACCUAUUAUAGCAUAAGCUUCUAUGGAGCAUGGUCCACUUCUUUAAAUGCAUGAGUUACAAGUACAGUGGUACCUCAGGUUACAGAUGCUUCAGGCUACAGAUGCUUCAGGUUACAGACUCGGCUAACCCAGAAAUAUUACCUCGGGUUAAGAACUUUCCUUCAUGAUGAGAACAGAAAUCACGCAGUGGCAGUGGGAGGCCCCAUUAGCUAAAGUGGUACCUCAUUUUAAGAACAUUUUCAGGUUAAGAACGGACCUCCAGAAUGAAUUAAGUUCUUAACCCAAGGUACCACUGUAUAGGUAUGCAUGGGAAUUGUAAAUGGUGAGGUCAAAGAGAAAUGAAUUGCAGAAAAUACAGAGGGAGUAGGAAUUAUGGAGCUAACAAGGGCAAUUCACAAAAAACUUGUUGAUAAUGCAGACAUCCUGGCAUAGGCAAGGCAAUUGACACAAACAGUUGUACCGAUUCAAUCGACAAGUAAUAGCGCCCAGCUUCUUGAUCUGUUGAAAUUCAGCAGUUCCAUAUUGCAGUUUCUUUGCAACUGACCUGAAGAUGGUCAUUUUUCGGAGUGUCCUGGGCUGUCAAAGUGUUGUGCCACCCCCUUCCCGCAGUUUUUUUGAAUGUUGCAAUUUAUGGUGUCAUCUUUGUGUCUAUUGAUUCUUUUCUGUAGAGAUGAAACAAUGGACCUGGCUAGCCCUGUGGAACCACGCUUGAAACCACAACACCCUACCAUCACAGUGCUGAAGUGUACUGCUUUGUGGUUGGUAAUCCUGCAGGAUUAAGGAGGAGUUAAAAACGGCACUGCUCAAGUUGUGGGUUGACCACCUCCCUCAUUCCUCCCUCUCCUCCCAAUGGUUGCUUUGGGGAAGAAGGGAGGGUGAGCCUCUGAAUGAGCUUUUUUAUGAUGAAGAUGCAGCACAGGGAUAUCAGUAUGAUAAGAUUCCUUCCUCACCCUAGACAUUACCUAAUAGACAGUAAAAGUGGUAACAGCGAGACUGGCAUCUCAGUGUUAUCCUUUGGGUUUUGUUCCCCUUGCGCUUUUGGGUUAACUUAGGAGCC
Podarcis lilfordi (Lilford's wall lizard) is the source of this 1478-nucleotide non-coding RNA. The record is from the annotation of a GenBank genome assembly. NCBI's taxonomy places the organism in Eukaryota, Metazoa, Chordata, Lepidosauria, Squamata, Lacertidae.